UACGUAGGAUGCAAGCGUUUUCCGGAUUUAUUGGGUUUAAAGGGUGCGUAGGCGGCCUAUUAAGUUAGUGGUGAAAACGUUCGGCUUAACCGUAUACCCGCCAUUGAUACUGAUAGACUUGAGUGCGACAGAGGGUGUUGGAAUGUGUGGUGUAGCGGUGAAAUGCUUAGAUAUCACGCAGAACACCAAUUGCGAAGGCAGAUGCCUAUGUCGUAACUGACGCUGAGGCACGAAAGCGUGGGGAGAAAACAGG
Molecule: ribosomal RNA, 253 nt
Filed under: uncultured bacterium
Lineage: Bacteria
Description: partial 16S ribosomal RNA
Rfam family: Bacterial small subunit ribosomal RNA
Source: RNAcentral